GAUGAACGCGGCGGCGUGCCUAAUACAUGCAAGUAGAACGCUGAAGCUUGGUGCUUGCACCGAGCGGAUGAGUUGCGAACGGGUGAGUAACGCGUAGGUAACCUGCCUCUUAGCGGGGGAUAACUAUUGGAAACGAUAGCUAAUACCGCAUAAAAGUCGAUAUCGCAUGAUAUUGAUUUGAAAGGUGCAAUUGCAUCACUAAGAGAUGGACCUGCGCUGUAUUAGCUAGUUGGUGAGGUAACGGCUCACCAAGGCGACGAUACAUAGCCGACCUGAGAGGGUGAUCGGCCACACUGGGACUGAGACACGGCCCAGACUCCUACGGGAGGCAGCAGUAGGGAAUCUUCGGCAAUGGGGGCAACCCUGACCGAGCAACGCCGCGUGAGUGAAGAAGGUUUUCGGAUCGUAAAGCUCUGUUGUAAGAGAAGAACGAGUGUGAGAGUGGAAAGUUCACACUGUGACGGAACUACCAGAAAG
This 477-nucleotide ribosomal RNA is filed under the name Streptococcus parasanguinis. Its description in RNAcentral is "bacterial SSU rRNA". It matches the Rfam family "Bacterial small subunit ribosomal RNA", at positions 28 to 490 of the family's 1533-position model. Lineage: Bacteria; Bacillati; Bacillota; Bacilli; Lactobacillales; Streptococcaceae. The record is from RNAcentral.